This 17247-nucleotide long non-coding RNA is filed under the name Prunus persica (peach). RNAcentral describes it as "long non-coding RNA (PPER_LNC004330)". The record is from RNAcentral. Lineage: Eukaryota; Viridiplantae; Streptophyta; Magnoliopsida; Rosales; Rosaceae.
UUUUCAAGUUGUAUACCAAACAACUUUUUGAAUCUUAAAAAAUGAAUUUGAGAACUCCUUGUUUUUUAAGAAAAAUAACAAUUUUUAAGUUCUCUACUUGGAUAGAAUACCAAACAAGCCCUUACUCACUCACUAUCUUCUUCAUAUUAAUAAAUUGACCACCAUGUUCUGUCAAUCUAUUUUCUUCAGGCCCGUUUGGUAUUUUAUCCAAGUAGGAAACUCAAAACCUUAGAUUAUUUUAAAAAACAAAGAGUUCUCAAAUUCAUUUUUUAAGAUUCAAAAACUCGUUUAGUAUGCAACUUGAAAACAGUUUUUAAAUUUUUAAAUUUAGAAACUUGUUCGGUUGAAUUCUUGAAAACAACUUCUUUUUUUUCUUUUUUUUUUAUAGCUAAGGUAUUGAUAAACAUUAUUGAAAUUAUACUAAACAUACUGAUUUUAAUAGUCCUGAUCUCUUAGACUACAGGGGUCCAAGAGAUUUGUGGUCACUUAUCGUUGAAUGUAAAUUCAACGGUUCACUCACUCUUGCACUCCUUUUAAGAAACUUUUUUGAACCAUUGAAUUAAUAUCCAAUAGUGGGUGACCACAAUCUCUUGGACCACAGAGAUCGGGACUGCUGAUUUUAAUACCAUACAUAAAUAAUGAUCGUCAAAUUCAAUUGAUCUUCAAGUCUUAAAUAAUACAUAUUAAAUUAAAAUAUUCUAUACUAAAUAAAUUCUAGACUAAUGAUAUUGCUCCGGCUAUUCAAUCUCUAGCAUCACUAAUUUCAUUAGCAUUGUCCUCACUCAUGCAAAUGGGUGUGUUCCCUGCUUGAUUUGCGCAAGAGCUUUCUUCAUCUACCACAUCAAGAUCAUGCAAAUUGUGCAAAAUUCCAUUAGGGCCCCAAUAAUGUCACUUCAGACACCAUCAUAUUUGUAUAUAACCAAAUUGCAAAAUUGGAAUGAGAAUAAAUCUUCACAAGUCUCCAACUAAAAUAGCAGAUAAAGAAUUCCAUGAUAUAGCUGAGAUACAAAAUUGCUACCACGCACAACACAAUCCAUGAAUAAAGAAUUCCAUGGUAAGGUAUGCACUGUAAUAUUUCCUUCUUAGACUCUGUCAAAUCUAACAGGCCUUCUUAGAACAUAAUCUACAUGGAACCCAAUUUGGGCAAGCUCAUGACAACUCUAUUCAAAGCUUGAUUUUUCAUAACAGUAGAACAACUUACUAUAACCUUCAAUAUGGUUCACUAGCCAUAUCCUUGACAAUACCAGGAAAAUCCAAACUAUGGCCACACAAAUAUAAAGAAACAAUAAAACUGGCUAUAUAUAACUUAGAGAGAGAGAGAGAGAGAGAGAGAGAGAGAGAGAGAGAGAGAGAGAGAGAUGUGGAUGAAGAGAGAGAUACCUCUGUAAUGCUCAACCAGUCCAAAACAAAACUCACAAAAUCCAUAACCAAAGGGCACCCUACGGCUAAACAUUGGCAUUUGAUACCUCUAUAAUGUGUCUAUGAAAUUGAUCAAAAUGAAAACUUGAGUGGAAAACUUCUUCUGUAACAAUUCCUACUAGUUUGAACAAAUGUCUAAGAAAAAACUUGUGUAUAAAAUACAUGAUUUUUACUGUCACAUACAUACUGAACAAGCUCUUAUCAAAACUUGUCAAGUUAAGUGAAACGAUCAAUCACAAUAAAUUGAGUUAAUUUUGACUGCAGAGCUCAUACUAACGGCAAGCUGAUGUGCAAAAUACUACAUAUUCAAGAAUUCUUUUUAAAUAGAAUAUAGAAGUUGAUUAACAUAUUAAGACUUCUUUUUUGGACCAAUACAUGAAAAAAAUUGCAGAGAAGCAUCAAAUGACCAAUUCAACAUAAGCAGGAUCUCAGAAAUUACAACCCAUAUGAAUAGCAUAACUGAGCAAAUAUCAUUCAGACUUCUGAGUGCUAGAGACUUCAAAUGAGAUAAUAAAAACAAAAAACAAAAACAACUGAAAAAAUUGAAACCAAUGAAUUCUAUAACCAGAAUAGGGAACACAAUGGACCCAUAAUGUCAAAAUCUAAAAGCAUUUCAUCACUUUCUAUGAAAAAAUAAUCAAUCAGGUUACACACAAGAAUUCAUAUAAAUAAAAUCAAAUUAGAUAUAAAUAAGCUAUAAAUCCAAUAAAAAAUAAACUCCAAUCUUCAGUUAUAAAGGACAAAAAGGGAACUAAAAAUUACCCGAUUGUAGAGAUCGGACAUUAGCAACUCCAGCUCACGACGAGCCAAUGGUGCGCGCCUGUUCGGUGGCGUGUGACGCCGAUAUUUCAACUGACAGAAUCGCAGAGACCAGAGGAGGCAGCGAGGGCGGUGCUCAGAUGCCCAGCCCUAAAAGUUACUGAUGAGAGAGAGGGACGAAGAGAGAGAUGGAGAGAGAGAGGGAGCAACAAAGCUUCAAGCUUCUGCUAUGGAGGCUUGAAGCUUGAGCUCAGAGCAAGCGUUGCUCGAGCGAUGAGACGAGUAGAAAAAAAAAUUCGAAAAAAACAGAAUUUUUUAUGUUUUCUAAUUUGUUGGUGUUUUUGAGUUUAUUUUGAGUUUGAGUUUUUAAUUUUAUAUGAUUAUAUUUGAAGGGAAAAAAAAAACCCAAAAUUCAAGUGUUAUAUCUCUGUUUAUUAAUUAAAUUAUUAAAGUUGAACCUUUCAUGCUCAUAUUUUUAGUUUCUUUAUUGAUAUUGCCUCUAUCUUGAUGUGGUGAUUGUUGAGAUUUUUAUUUUUUAUUUUUAAGAAAAUCUCGACGGAACGAGAAAAACUUUAUUGAUAAAAUGAAGAAUUACAACGCGAGGAACAAUAAGACUGACCCUGACACAAAAAAUCACAUAAUAAGGUGUUCUAAAUAAGAUCAUCAAACCAAAUAAAAAUAUCCACAUUAUGCAGACCGAAUCGAGCAAGUCACCAAUGUGCAACACCAUUUGCUUCCCAAUGAGUAAAUUGAAAAAGAGAUCCAGGAAUCUCAAAUAAAGUUGAGGAUUUUAUUGUUAUUAGUUGCUUUUAUUAUAAAAUUUAAAACUCUGGAAACCUUAAAAAGACAAAAAUAAAAAUAAAAAGAAGACAUUACUCUAAAAAGAUAUUUGGAUUAAUAUUUUCUUUAAAAAAAUCGAUGAUUAGUUUAUAAAAUAAAAUAAACAAACUACAAUUUUAGUGAUUAAUGUGUUCGUACAUGAGCACACUUUAGACUUUCACCUUGGGCCUUUGAGAGUUGAGAACCGGCCCUGCCUUUCAUAAUAAAAUUGAAUAUCCCUCAUGAAUUAAUAAAAAUCUUGUUUUAUUUUGUAAUUGUUAAUUAUGCUAUGUAAUUGCUAAUUUCUAAUGUUGGUGAUUGCUUAAUUUUAAGGCAUAAAAUAUAUUUUCAUUUUAAAUAAUUCCAAGCCAAUGAAAGAUGUCAUUUUUUUGUAAAACGACCUGUCGUUCUUUUCCCACCAGCUGCCGUCUCGUGGUGCUCUCAAGUUCUCAACCCACUCCAACCCCAAAAUUCUCAAGUCCAAUCGGAGGUCGCGCUAUGGCCAGCCUCUGUCUCCUUACGACCAAGAUGACGACGAAGAGGUUUCUCGUGCUAGUGAUGUUUCGGAUGACGAUUGGUUGCUCAAUGUGAGUUUCUGUUCUGGCUCUUGUGCUUGAGCUGCUCGACUUGGUGGUUGUCCUUUGGGAAAGUGUUUUUUCUUGCUUUUGAAAGCAGAUUUUUUUUUUUUAAUUUAAUUUAAUUUUUUAUAGUUAAAGUUCUACUUGGAUUUGAAGUACCUUUACUUUUGUGAAUGUAGUAGCAUUUGGUUUUUCAGUUUUUUAUUAAAAUUUUAACUUUAAUUUGAGGCAUGGAUAGUAACAAUGGUACAAUUAUGCUCACUGUGAGGUACCCAUGUUUUGAAAUACGGUAAUUUGUAGUUUUUCUUUGUGGAAUUCUUGAUUUGGUUGCUUAGGGGUUUGAGGUAAAUAUUUGUUUGUGGGUCUUUUUCAAUGUAAGAAGUGCAUGCCAGUUUCUUUCUGAUUUACAAAGCAACGUGCAAAGAAAGAUUAAGAGUUCAAGUUUUAUCCGUUUUCUUUUUGCAUUUCAUUAUUGAAAAUAUUGCAAAAUUGAUUCUUGGACUUGUGGUAAUUUAUUUUCAUGGAAAGAUUAGUUUGGUAUAAGUGUUUCUGUGACACAACUAUCUUCGGUUUCCUUUGUUUGAAACAUCAUCUGGCUUUUCUUGUGGGUUGCUUCUCCAGGAUGACUUUGCAGAAAUUUCAGAGUUUGAUGUUAAUAGAAAGAGGUCCAAAUCACACAAGGGAUUUGUGAAUGGUCAUUCGGAUGGCAGAAACAGUAAGCACACUCUAGAGAAAAGUAAUGCUGCAAACUACUACAAUAGUUCUAAUCAAACAAAUGGUGUCAGUUCCUUGGAUGUACCUCGUAAGGGAAAGGUAUCUUGUAGAGUGAUAUGACGAGCUGUCAAAUUCUGUCAUCAACUAUACUAUUUUUCCGGGAAGUGCUUAUUUAUUUUCUUUGAUGCAGCAGUCUACAAGGAAAGCUAUGGAGGAUAGAUUUCCUCGGCUAUCAGAAGAGGUUGAAUUGGAUGAGAAGUGGUUACCUCUUAUUGAUUACCUUAGCACAUUUGGGCUUAAGGAAUCACACUUUAUUCAAAUGUAUGAAAGGCAUAUGCCUUCUCUUCAAAUAAAUGUGUGCUCUGCAAAGGAAAGGUUGGAAUAUUUGUUGAGUGUUGGGGUCAAACAAAGAGAUGUAAGAAGAAUGCUUUUGAGGCAGCCACAAAUCCUCGAAUAUACAGUUGAGAACAAUUUGAAGUCCCAUGUUGCUUUCCUCAUGAGUUUGGGUAUUCCAAGUUCCAGAUUCGGGCAGAUUAUUGCUGCUGCUCCAUCCCUCUUCUCUUAUAGCAUUGAGAAUUCAUUGAAACCCACCGUGAGAUACUUAGUUGAGGAGGUCGGGAUUAAAGAAAAAGAUUUAGGUAAAGUUGUGCAGUUAAGCCCUCAAAUUCUAGUUCAGCGGAUUGAUAUAUCAUGGAAUACUCGUUUGAAUUUUCUUUCUGAGGAGAUAGGAGCACCCAGAGAUAGUAUUGUGAAGAUGGUUAAAAAACAUCCCCAGUUCCUCCACUUUAGCAUCGAUGAUGGUCUGCUCCCCAGGAUCAAUUUCCUUAGGAGUAUUGGGAUGUGUAAUGCUGACAUCUUGAAAGUCUUAACUAGUCUGACACAGGUCUGCUUACUUUCUUUUAUGCCCAUCAGAGUACUUUUACAUUGUUUCUAAUUGCUUGGGAUUUAUUUGUACUUGUGUCACAAGAAAUAGUUUUUCUUUCCAUAUGCAUGUAUGUUAGUAUGAGUUUCUACUUCUUUUACUGAAAUAUCAUGUUCUUAAGAAGAAGAAAAAUAGCUUUCUUGCUGCUUCCCACUUAACAAGUUAAUUUUCUGAAUCUUUGACCAUUUUAAAGUUCCCUUUUGUACAUUUCUGACAUGUAGCCUUGCAGGGACUAUCCCUAUCACUGGAGGAGAAUUUGAAACCCAGGUACAAGUACUUGGUCAAUGAACUUCGUAAUGAAGUGCAUUCCUUGACCAAAUAUCCUAUGUACCUAAGCUUGUCUUUAGACCAGAGAAUUCGCCCCCGACAUAGGAUAUAUAAGAUUUUUCCACCGAAGCUGUCCUACAGUGCCAGUCAAAAAGUUGUGAGAAAGAUCCAAAAACGUCAAUGAAUCUUUCCCCAAAUCCAAUAACCAUUUGGGAAUGUAGGCUUGGAUUCUGUUGUGGGAAAGGUAUAACAUAUCCAACUUUUGUGAGGCUCUGAGAAAGUAUGGGAACUCACUUAUGUUACAAGACGACAAAUCUAGACUCGAAAGUUGAGGCCAGGUGUUGUUACUCAAAUGGUUGAAGCUCAAGGAUAGAUGAUUAAAGGAAAGAUUAAGCUCACUAAGACUUUGGAGUUUGGAAAACUUUUCAAACUCCACAGUGCCACUCAAGUGGUUGGAUGAUAGAUCAAGCCCCGUAACCUUCUCAAGUUCAAAGAUUGAUCUUGGAAUCAGGCCAUCCAGCUUGUUAUCACUUAAAAAAAGGUAUUCCAAAGAACGAGAUUGGAACUCAAUGAUAUUACCACUGAGUUGGUUGCUUCCGAGGUCUAACCACUCCAAUGAUGGCAAACUAACUAACCAAGAUGGUAUUGUUCCGUUGAGUUGGUUCCCAUCUAAAAAGAGGGCGGUUAAGUGUCGUGGAAUAGGACCCACCAGUUGUUGUUUUGAAAAAUCAUAUAAAGAAGAGUUGCUAUCAACUUCUGGAAACUGACCGACAUAAUUGUUGAAACUAAGAUCCAACCAAGUGAGUGUCUCAAGAUUUAAGAAUGACCAUGGGAUUUGGCCACCAAAACUGUUAUACGAGAGGUCCCUUUUGUACAUUUCUGACAUGUAGCCUUUCAGGUACUAUCCCUAUCACUGGAGGAGAAUUUGAAACCCAAGUACAAGUACUUGGUCAAUGAACUUCAUAAUGAAGUGCAUUCCUUGACCAAAUAUCCUAUGUACCUAAGCUUGUCUAUAGACCAAAGAAUUCGCCCCCGACAUAGGUUCUUGCUUUCUCUGAAGAAAGCUCCUAAAAGGCCAUUUCCUUUAAGUUCACUGGUCCCCACUGAUGAAUGCUUCUGCCAGCAGUGGGCUGGAACUAGCUUAGAUAAAUAUAUAGAUUUCCGGCAGAGACUACUGCUCAAGGAGUUUGCCAAAAAAUAUGAAAGAAAGGGAUAGCAUCUUCUCCGAAAGGAUGCCCGAGGUUACUGACCCAAGUGUUUGAUGAACAGAGCAGCCUCCCUUUGCAACUUUGUCUGUGAAUGAAUUUCAAUGUAUGCCACUGUUAACAAUAAUUUCCAUGAAGUUCAGAGUUUCUGGUUAUCAUAAACCUGGAGUAAGCAAGUUUCCAGGUUGUUGACAGUUUCCCGUUGGGAUGGUUAGUUUGUUUCUCAUGUGGAGUAUAUAGGUGGUACCUCACUCCACUCCAAUGCUAUUAGUUGUUCAUACAGGAGCAGCUCCAGUUUUGUAUACAACGUUACAUUCUCAGGUCAAGGCAUCUAGAUGAGUAUUAUUUUCGAGGUUCUAACUGCUUGUGACAGAAAAGACAAUAGACGACAGUCUAUGCUUUAAGGUGAUUUAUUUUUUAAUUGAACAAGAAAGGGUGGUUUCCAGGAUAAUGAAUCUACCUUUUGAAUGGUCGCAUGUUUGAUUAUUUGUGCUGUAUUCCUUUGUGCUAGUAGACAAGUACAACGUAAUACAUCUCUUCCUUACUGCCAUUGGAUAGCCUAAUUACAUUGUUUGAUAUGAUUUUGUACUUUCUAAUGGUUAAUUAACUCAUUGCAGGUUAGUAGUGUAUUUGCAUCUUCUCAACUCUCAAGUGGACAAAGGAGAAGCUUUACUAACUGCGGUUGAUUUAAAACAGGAGGAUUCGUUCUUCUACUGUAUGCAUUGUAAGUCGGAUGAGUUUUUGCUACUUUUUCAUCCCGAAAAUAUACCCAGAGAAAAGCAAGAAAGCAGCCAAAAUUGCAUUGGAAUUUUACAGAGAAAAUUUGUCAACUCUGUAGUUUGGAGAUUCAACCCAACAAGUAAAGGUCAUCAUCAUAUUCGAUCAAAUUGGAUUUAAUUGGUUAAUUUGAGUGGAUUGGAUUGAGUUUUAAACACGAACUAGAUUGGAUUGAUGUCAAACAUAUAACUAUAGAAACUCAACUUUAACACACUAAUAUAUAUGUAACAAUAGUGUUGUAUGAAGAAAAUUACUUCUCUUAUUUCCACCAUAACGUGAUUAAUAAGCAGCUCGAGUUAGUAUUUAUCUCGUGAUGAUACAUCUAACUUAAUAAACAUGAUUAACAUUGAUGAGUAUUUCAUAACUAUCACGAUACAUCCGCGUAACCUAAUUGACUUGUGAUUGGUUUGUAGCUUAAGUUGUUAAGAGCAUUUAUCCUUGUAUUUGAUGUCCUAGAUUCGAUUCCUGCCUCCUCCAAUAUGUUUGUAUAAUAUAUAUUGUAAUUUUUAUUUUUUUUAAAUAUGGUUUGGCGCAUCAACGAUUGAAUUUAGACACCAACAAUAGACCCUUGAACCCAACAAGUGCAACGAUUUAGACAAUAUGACCACUUCCCUCUGGCAUUAAUCUGCAAGUUUAAACUAUGCUAGAUUCCGUUGACAAACAUUAUGACCAAUUCCCUCCUGAUGCUGGUCAACGGUGUGCCUAUGUUGCGAAACCACUUGCCUGUGGCAAGUCCUCCAAAAACAAGUGAUUGGCCAAGUUGAUCCAGUCUCUGGCUAGAAGCUUGCACGUUAUCCUUUCAGGGUCGGUUUGCUUCAAUACAAGAUUAUCAUGAAAACCCAAUCAUUUAUUUAUUUAAUAAUUGAAUUUGGUGGUGUCAAUUUUCAGAAAGUUGUUCAAGGAAUGAGACAGUGAAUGAGACAAACUUCGAUACUGCAUGCAGUUUGCGUUAGUAGCAUUUCUCUUAAAGCUAAGAGAAAUGCUAGUAACAUUCUUUCUAACUUUCUCUUUUGGACUUUUUUUUUUUUUUGCUUAACAUGUGUCAUUCUUCUUACACUUAAAAUAAUGUCAUUAAUACAAAGGACCCACUAGUGUAGUGGUUUGGAGUAUUUACUCCCUCAGGCAAGGUCCUGGGUUCGAGUCCUAGCAUCCGUGUUGUGUGUGUGAGUUUAAUAUGAUAUCGCCCCUUUCAAUAGGAAAGGACCUCAAAAAAAAAAAAUAAUAAUGUCAUUAAUAUAUUAUACAAGUUAACUUUGGUUUGCCAACUUUACUCUUAUUAAAUGUAUUCAAUUUAUUCAAAAAACUUUCACAACUUUCUUACCAUUAUUUUUUUUUAACGUCAAUUAUUUUUUUCAAAAAAAUAUCUAAUUUUUUCAAAAAAGAGGAAAUAUCUGUUUUUUUUUUUAAUAAUAAAAAUAUCUAAACCCUUUGUGUUUAAAAAUAAAAAUUUAAAAAAAAAAACUAGACAUUUCCUCUUAAAAGCAUAUAUUUUCUUUAAAAAAAUAAUUGACGUUAGAAAAAAAUUAAUAAGAUGGUAAGAAAGUUCAAAAAAAAAUUUGGAUAAAUUGAAUACAUUUAAUAAGGGUAAACUUGGAAAGCAAAAGUUAGCUUGUAUAAUAUAUUAAUGACAUUGUUUUAAGUGUAAGGAGAAUGACACAUGUCAAGCAAAGAAGAGAGAAGGUCCAAAGGAGAAGGUUAGAGAGAAGGUUGCUAGCAUUCCCCUAUAGCUAAUGGCUCCAACUAUAUUAGCCUAGUUAUGGAGGUCGGUUUGUCUUUCUGUACAAAUAAUACAUGUUUUGAGAAUUUUGAUAGUGUAGGCGUAGAGCCUUUUUCUUAUCCGGAUGUCGCAAUAUCCUUAAAAUAUAUUCUAUCUACACAAGUUCAAUAUAUAAAAAAAUUUAUAAAAACUUACAUUUUCUUCGAAGUGUUUAGAAAACUAAAUGGGGAGGUGAUAAUUGAUUCUUUUUCUCCGUAACAUAUUUCACGGAUUUAUUACUGAGAUUUGUUUUGAGUAAAUUAAAGACUUCAAUUAUAUGAAAGUAACAAGUUGAGGACUUAUGGUCAAUUUUUUUAAAGUUCGUCCAAUUUGCUAGCAAAACAUGUCACCCACACAAUUACUUGUUGUGGAUUAGUUUUUGUAUUUUUCCUUUUAAAACUUUUGAACUGUUCAAAAAUGUCACAUGUUCUUAUAAAAAGAAUAUACAUGAAAAAUUUUGAAUAGAAGUAUCACCAGCUGACGUGAUAAUACCGUACUAUUUAAUAAUUUUUACACAUUCUCUCUCUCCCCAUUCAUUUAAUGCAAAUGUUUAUAUAACAAAAAUUCCAAAAGGUAAUACUUGAGACGUUGAUAUUUAUAACAAGCUUAGCUGUCCUGCAUUUAAAAUUUCCACUGUGCUAGGAUGGCAAGUACUUGAGCUUGUUUCCAACAAAAUCAGCAAGCAUCUUUUGACAUCGAGGGUAAAGCAUCUAUAUUGUCACAUGGGUGUAGGUCCCAGUGUUAGCUAGCUAGGAAAUUAUUGUAACUAGUUACCAUUUUUUAGCAUGGCAAGUACGCAAUGAGUUUGUUUCUUGGAAAAUCAGCAAGCAAGCAAGCAGCUUUUGGAAAAUUUUGCAACCAAGGCUUUGAUUUGAUAUUUGGUCUAUGGUCUUGGUAGGUAUAAUUUCUGCGAUAUCAAAUGGUUUUCACGUUUUGCCUCCAAUUCCUACUAGUCAAAACUUGUUCAAAUAUCCAAAGGGCAUGUCACGUACAUUCCUCAAUCAGAAUUGAUUAAUUAAUUGUCAAUUGCAUGGUCAUAGUCAAUUUUUAAGUUGAUUUGUAUUGUACCCUCAGUUUUGUGGGCAAAUACUACUCAAUUAUCCAUGCUAUUUAGUGAUUUAAUUUUUUUCAUUUCCUCGUAUUUUUUGAAAUGAGAAGAAUUAUAGGAGUAUAUAACAUAGUUGAGCCAAAUUACGUGUAUUGAUUGAAUGGAUUUGUCAAUUGUGUUUGACAAAUUACAAGAUGCACGAGCAAUUAUUCUAUUUUAACAAAAGUAAAGAGGAUCCUCUUUUCAAACUCAUGCAUAUUUAUUGGCGCUUUGACAUAAUAAAAUAUUCAUAAAAAAUGAAAUACAAUAUGAAAAUACAUAAACUUUUGGAAUGGUUUCUUCAAGCACGUCGUUGUGUGAUUUUCACAGUUCUACGACAUUGCUUUCUUCCUACCACUUUAACAAGCCAAUCUGGUGUUCCAUUAGAGAGUACAAGAUAUCCCACAGAUAUUCCAAUUACCACCCUAGAUGCAUACCCCAUCAACACUAGCUUCCAAUCAAAACCAUUCUCAUGCUCCAAAUCAACCUCUUGUUGGAAUGACGAUGGCGGUGAUUGAUGUGGUGCACUGCAUGUUUUAGAAAGUGGCAAUCCACACAAUCCUGUAUUUCCACUAUAUGAAUCAUUUUCAAAUGUAUCAAAUUGCUUGCCAUGAGGUAUGGGCCCCACAAGUUGAUUUUUUGAAACAUUGAACUUCGAUAGUGACGUCAAAUUUGCCAGUUGCUCCGAAAUUUCACCAACAAGUUUGUUUGAAGACAGAUCUAACCAUUCAAGAUUGCGCAUUUCUCCAAAUGAUGGUGGAAUUGUACCUGUAAGCUCAUUAUGAGAAAAGUUAAGCCCCUUCAAUGAUUUAAGCUUACUAAUUACACUUGAAAUCUCUCCUCUGAAAGUGUUGUUUGAGAAAUCAAUAAUUGUGAAGAACGUCAGGAUCUUCUCCAUUUCAAUUUCGAAGCCUUUAAUUGUCACUACCACAGUAUCCUGAUAGUAACCCUCUCCCAUAUAUUUCAGUCCAUGUUCUUGCGAGUUUAUCACAGCCGUCAAGUGUUCAAAAUAUUUUGUUGGCAAGAGACCGCUAAACCGAUUGUUGGAGAGGUCUAUGAUAUGCAAUUUUUGGAAUGGAAACUUAGUUUUUGGAAUGCAUAUUUCACCAUAGAAUUUGUUAGACCUCAAGAUAAGAACCUGCAACUUCGGAAGAGAUUCUAGCCAAUUUGGGAAUGUGUCUUGAAUUUUGUUGUUUGCAAGGUCUAGAACUUCUAACUCUCUACAUGUGAGCAAAGUUGGCGGCAACGACCCUUCCAACUGAUUUUUAUUAAGAUCAAGAUUUCUCAAAACGUUUCCCUCAGAAAAUGUGUCUGGAAUCAUGCCAUAAAAUUUAUUAUUCCGUAGAUUCAAAACAGAGAGUCUCUGACUGAAAUUCCCUAUGCAUUGAUGAAUUUUGCCACUCAAUUUAUUAUUAGACAAAUCAAGGAUUUGAAGGCUACUCAGGCUGCAGAUCGUUGGAGGUAUCUCUCCAGUGAAUUGAUUGUUUGAUAUGAAAAAGUAAUAUGUGGAAGGUGAUGGAAUUGGAAGCUCUCCUUGGAGAGAAUUGUUGCGAAGGUCAAGAUACUGGAGAUUUUUCCACCGAAGCGGUCCUACAGUGCCAGUCAAAGAGUUGUGAGAAAGAUCCAAAUAACUCAAUGAAUCUUUCCACAAAUCCAAUAACCAUUUGGGAAUGUUGGCUUGGAUUCGGUUGUGGGAAAGGGAUAACGUGUCCAACUUUGGUGCGGCCCUUAGAAAGUAUGGGAACUCACUUAUGUUGCAAGACGACAAAUCUAGUAACUCAAGUUGAGGCAAGGUGUUGUUUCUCAAAUGGUUGAAGCUCAAGGAUAAAUGAUUAAAGGAAAGAUUAAGAAUUUGGAGUUUGGAAAACUUUUCAAACUCCACAGUGCCACUCAAGUUAUUGGAUGAUAGAUCAAGCCAUCUAAGGUUCUCAAGUUCAAAGAUUGAUCUUGGAAUCAGGCCAUCCAGCUUGUUAUCAUUUAAAAGAAGCCCUGACAAAGAACGAGAUUGGAACUCAAUGAUAUUACCGCUGAGUUGGUUACUUCUAAGGUUUAACCACUCCAAUGAUGGCAAACUACCUAACCAAGAUGGUAUUGUUCCGUUGAGUUGGUUCUCAUAUAAAUAGAGCUCGGUUAAGUGUCGAGGAAUAGGACCCACCAGUUGUUGUUUUGAAAAAUCAUAUAAAGAAGAGUUCGAUGUCGAGUUGCUAUACACUUCUGGAAACUGACCGACAUAGUUAUUGCCACCGAGAUUUAAGGAAACAAGGCUCUCAAGGUUUAAAAAGAACGACCAUGGGAUUUGGCCACCAAAACUGUUAGACGAGAGGUCCAACCGCAUGAUUUGUGUGAGGUUACCAAGAAAUGCAAGAUAUGAUCCUACAAAACUGCAAUUGCUGAGAGACAAAUCUCUCAAAGACUUGAAAUUUCUUGUCAGAUGAUGCCAAUCUACUGAGAUUCUUGUACGAGAGAGAUCCAGCAUCUCAAGGGGACUGCUCCAGUUAGACUCGGGGAAAUAACCUGUGAGGUUAUAGUUGUGGCCUAAAUCUAGGAGUCGAAGAUUUGGUCGUUGGAAAAUGCUUUCUGGGAAUUUUCCUUGCAAGUUGCACCAGGGAAGUUCAAGAAUUUCCAAAGAAGAAGACAGAUUUUUGAAAGAAUCAGGUAUAACUGAUGACAUAUCAACAGAGGCCAAAUUAAGCUCCCGAAGAUUGGUCAGGUUUUGAACAAUUCUGUUAAAGCUAAGAGUAUCAACAUGUGUCACAACAAGAUAUGAAGAUUGCGAGAGAUUGAGUGAAACCAAGGUGGAAAGGUGGGAAAUUUCGGAAGGUAUUGGGCCACUGAAAUUGGAGUAAGAGAGGUCAAGGUGAGUCAUACUUACAAAGCCACCAAAUUUGGACGAAAUUGGGGAACCUCUGAAAUCAUUAGAAGAGAGGUCUAGCCUCUUGAGAUGGCCGAGAGAGAAUAAGCUGCUAUUGGAAUGGAUAUUGCCUUGAAGCCCACUGAAAUGAAGGUUGAGACUGAUCACACGACUAGUCAUCUUUUCACAAGUGACUCCACUCCAUGUGCAACAAUCCUUGCCUUUCUGCCAAGAAAUUGUACUAUUAGAAUAAAGAGUUGUUCCAUUAUAUAAUUCACGUUUAGAAGAGGUAUCAAUAGAAAAGGAGUUUUUGAAUUGAAGCAAAGCGGAGCUGUCUUCAGGAUGGCAUAAAUGCCCUGAAGAAAGAGAAGAGGAAGAGUUAGCUGAUGAACAAGUAGAGUUGAAUUGACAAGUAGUAGAGAGCAGGAAGAGGAGGCAGAACCAUGACAACCAACCCAUCUUUCUUUAAAAAUCUAAAGUAUAUAGUUAUUGUGAGCAAUUCUAUACUGGAUAUGUUGAUAUUUAUAACAAGCUUAAUGAAUAGUAAUUUAUCAUCUUUAAAGAUAAUCAAGUAUCAUUGUGCCCAUUGUAACGAUUGGGUGUCCUCUUCACAUAGUAGGUCCCAAUUUGAAGUGCUGAUUUCAAGCGUUGAUUUGAUAUUUGGUCUUUGGUCUUUGGUCUUGGUAGGUAUAAUUUCUGCAUGUUCAAAUGGUUUUCACAUGUUACCUCCAACUUCUACUAGUCAAAAGUUGUCCAAAUAUGAUUCACAUUCUGUGUGUAGACCAAAUAUGAUUCACAUUUGCCCCUAAUUCUUCUCAUCUCUAUGCUUCUACUAACUUUGUCUCUGCCACUAAGCAUUUGCUAGGCCUUAGGCCUUUUGUCCGAAAAAGCAUUUGCAGCUUUGCCCCCUUCCUCACGCUCUCAUCUGACCCUUAAGCAUUUGAUAGGCCCUAGGCCUUUAGUCCAAUCUCUUUAUGAACUUUCAGAGCAAAUUCAUAAACAAAAAUUUCUUUUAUGAAAAUCCAUUAUCUUUCUCUAGGGCUAAAGAAAAGAAAGGAGUCAUCAACAUAAAAGUUAAAACAAUGCUUUAGAUAAAAUCUAAAUAAUAUAAUAAUUAAACCCUAUAUAAAGCUUGAAAUCAAAGGGUUUCGGGAAUGCUUGCUCUCUCUGGAUGUGGCUGAGAGAGAGAGAGAGAGAGAGAGAGAGAGAAGAUGGAGAUUAGUCCUUUAGUCCAAUCUGUGAAUGAACUUUCAGAGAAAAUUCAUAGACCAAAAGAAAAAAGGUACCAACUUUUCUUUGUAGGAAAUGAUGGAACAACUUUAACGUUAUCACUUGCACAUGAAAUGUUUAUCACUCUAGCGUGUGCAAGUACGUGAUGAGUUUGUUUCACGGAAAAUCAGCAAGCAAGCAAGCAGCUUUUGGAAAAUUUUGCAACCUGUUAUAAAACUAGAAUAAUCAGUUGAUGAGAAGUACCACUGUAAUAUUGGGAGUGGGAUUAUAUUUCUCUUUGUAGUGUUUACACUGACAGAAUUUCUCCUCAGAUAGACUCCACUCUUUCUCUUCUCUCUGACUCCCACUCUUUCUCUUUCUCUCUUCCGUUCUUUCUUUCCUCACUCUUUCUUAUCUUCUAUCUUCUCAUUUCUUUCACUUUGCAGGUUGCCUAUUUAUAUGCAGAUUGGUGCAACUCUCGUGAGUGUGCAGUAAGAAAAAGUUGCCGACAAACUCUACCCAAAGUCUCCAAAUGAAUAGUUAGUGGGCUCCACACAAAAAUUUUACAGCACAACCAAGACUUUGAUUUGAUAUUUGGUCUUUGGUCUUGGUAGUCAAAAGUUGUCUAAAUAUGAUUCACAUUUUGGGUGUAGACCAAAUAUGAUUCACAUUUGCCCUCUCCUUCACGCUGAUUCUUCUCAUCUCUCUGUGCUUCUGCUAACUUUGUCUCUGGCCCUAAGCAUUCGGCAGGCCUUAGGCCUUUUGUCCAAUCUAUGAAUCAACUUUCACAGCAAAUUGAUACAGGUAAAAAAAUAAAAAAUAAAAAGCAUUUGCAGCUUUGCAUUCUCAUUUAGGAUCACCUAUAGAACUAUAUAGAAAUUAUAGCUAGUACAUAUGUCAAUUGAAAAUGGUUUUGAGAUUAAUUAGAAGUGCAUGCUCUUCAUAUGUCUUUUGUUUGGCCUGGUUUCCUUCUCAGCCUCUGAUGUUUUCUUUGGCUUCUUCGUCGUUUUUUCGUACAAGUUUGGAUAAAGAGAAAAAAUUGUUUGGAUUUUGAAGAGGUAUCAAAACUUUCGUUGUUUGUUUUGUUGCUCUUUCUUUUCCUUUUGGGUUGGUUGAGCGUUCUUUUGUUUUUGGCUCAGCAAUUUUACUCACUCCCUAUCUUCUUCAUAUUAAUAAAUUGACCACCAUAUUCUGUCAAUCUACUUUCUGAGGGCCCGUUUGGUACUCAAAACCUUUGAUUAUUUUAAAAAACAAGGAGUUCUCAAAUCCAUUUUUUAAGAUUCAAAAACCUAUUUGAUAUGCAACUUGAAAACAGUUUUUUAAUUUUUAAAAUUUGGAAACUUGUUUGGUUGAAUUCUUGAAAGCAACUUUUUUUUUCUAAUAGCUUAGGUAUUGAUAAACAUUAUUGAAAUUAUACUAAACAUACUGAUUUUAAUACCAUACAUAAAUAAUGAUCGUCAAACUCAAUUGAUCUUCAAGUCGUAAAUAAUACAUAUUAAAUUAAAUUAUUCUAGACCAAAUAAAUUCUAAGAUAAGACUAAUGAUAUUGCUCCGGCUAUCUAAUCUCUAGCAUCACUAAUUUCAUUAGCAUUGUCCUCACUCAUGCAAAUGGGUGUGUUCCCUGCUUGAUUUGCGCAAGAGCUUUCUUCAUCUACCACAUCAAGAUCAUGCAAAUUGUGUAAAAUUCCAUUAGGGCCCCAAUAAUGUCACUUCAGACAACAUCAUAUUUGUAUAUAACCAAAUUGCAAAAUUGGAAUGAGAAUAAAUCUUCACAAGUCUCUAACUAAAAUAGCAGAUAAAGAAUUCCAUGAUAUAGCUGAGAUACAAAAUUGCUACCACGCACAACACAAUCCAUGAAUAAAGAAUUCCAUGAUAAGGUAUGCACUGUCAUAUUUCCUUCUUAGACUCUGUCAAAUCUAACAAGCCUUUUUAGAACAUAAUCUACAUGGAACCCAAUUUGGGCAAGCUCAUGACAACUCUAUUCAAAGCUUGAUUUUUCAUAACAGUAGAACAACUUACUAUUCAAUAUGGUUCACUAGCCAUAUGCUUGACAAUACCAGGAAAAUCCAAACUAUGGCCACACAAAUAUGAAGAAACAAUAAAACUGGCUAUAUAUAACUUAGAGAGAGAGAGAUACCUCUGUAAUGCUCAACCAGUCCAAAACCAAACUCACAAAAUUCCAUAACCAAAGGGCACCCUACGGCUAAACAUUGACAUUUGAUACCUCUAGAAUGUGUCUAUUAAAUUGAUCAAAAUGAAAACUUGAGUAGAAAACUUCUUCUGUAACAAUUCCUACUAGUUUGAACAAAUGUCUAAGAAAAAACUUGUGUACAAAAUACAUGAUAUUUACUGUCACAUACUGAACAAGCUCUUAUCAAAACUUGUCAAGUUAAGUGAAACGAUCAAUCACAAUAAAUUGAGUUAAUUUUGACUGCAGAGCUCAUACUAAUGGCAAGCUGAUGUGCAAAAGACUACAUAUUCAAGAAUUCUUUUUAAAUAGAAUAUAGAAGUUGAUUAACAUAUUAAGACUUCUUUUUUGGACCAAUACAUGAAAAAAAUUGCAGAGAAGCAUCAAAUGAACAAUUCAACAUAAGCAGGAUCUCAGAAAUUAUAAGUAACCCAUAUGAAUAGCAUCACUGAGCAAAUAUCAUUCAGACUUCUGAGUACUAGAGACUUCAAAUGAGAUAAUAAAAGCAAAAAACAAAAACAACUGAAAAAUUUCAAACCAAAGAAUUCUAUAACCAGAAUAGGAAACACAACGGACCCAUAAUGUCAAAAUCUAAAAGCAUUUCAUCACUUUUUAUGAAAAAAUAAUCAAUCAGGUUACACACAAGAAUUCAUAUAAAUAAAAUCAAAUUAGAUAUAAAUAAGCUAUAAAUCAAAU